This 253-nucleotide ribosomal RNA is filed under the name uncultured bacterium. RNAcentral's name for it is "partial 16S ribosomal RNA". It matches the Rfam family "Bacterial small subunit ribosomal RNA", at positions 524 to 776 of the family's 1533-position model. The record is from RNAcentral.
UACGGAGGGGGCGAGCGUUGUUCGGAAUUACUGGGCGUAAAGGGCGCGUAGGCGGCCGCCUAAGUCAGACGUGAAAUCCCUCGGCUCAACCGGGGAACUGCGUCUGAUACUGGGUGGCUUGAAUCCGGGAGAGGGAUGCGGAAUUCCAGGUGUAGCGGUGAAAUGCGUAGAUAUCUGGAGGAACACCGGUGGCGAAGGCGGCAUCCUGGACCGGCAUUGACGCUGAGGCGCGAAAGGCAGGGGAGCAAACGGG